UUCCCGCCCGAGGGCCCCGCGCUGGGGUCAGAGAGGCGCGCGACUCCCACCCCUGAUCCCGAAAACCGCCGUUGGUCCCCGCGCCGGAGAACUGCCACUCCCGCCCCUAUCCGUGUUGGGUCUGGCAGCUCGGAGGCGUGCAUGGCUCCCGGGACCGUGCCCGGGUUCGGGGGGCCAAGGCUGGGAGCAGACUCAGUCCCAGGAACCGUAUCCUUGAGGUCUUCUUUCCUCUCCUCUGGGCCUUGAGUGGCACUUUCUCAUGUUUCUGCGGCCUUUCCCUUGCUCGCGACCCUGUGUCCUCUAUGGUUCCUGCAGGCAGGUCUGACUCUCCGAUGCCACCUGCCGCUCACAUCUGCAGAAACAGCCUCACCGCGAGCAGACACAAGGCAGGAGCUGCAGUGUUGGAAGUUCUCCAGUUUAAAGGCGGCUGCAGAAGUCGGGCCUGGGCUCUGCCUAGGAGCGAAAGGCCAAGGCCUGAGGCCUUGUGCCACAGCCAUGCAGAAGGCCAGGAACAUGCAUUUUCCUCCCCCUUGUCUCUCCUGCUCCUCCAACACCAGAUUCUCUUGAGUAAAAAUAUUAAAGUGGUCCUGAGAAACUUGGACAGAAAUUUGCACAAA
Non-coding RNA from Heterocephalus glaber (naked mole-rat), 617 nucleotides. The record is from RefSeq and is a predicted model, not a curated record. NCBI's taxonomy places the organism in Eukaryota, Metazoa, Chordata, Mammalia, Rodentia, Bathyergidae.